AAGUUGGAAUCGCUAGUAAUCGCGGAUCAGCAUGCCGCGGUGAAUACGUUCCCGGGCCUUGUACACACCGCCCGUCACACCAUGAGAGUCGGGAACACCCGAAGUCCGUAGCCUAACUGCAAAGGGGGCGCGGCCGAAGCCACUUAGCUAACCCUUUUGGGAAGCGAGUGUCGAAGGUGAAAUCAAUAACUGGGGUGAAGUCGUAACAAGGUAAC
This 215-nucleotide ribosomal RNA is filed under the name uncultured bacterium. RNAcentral describes it as "partial 16S ribosomal RNA". It matches the Rfam family "Bacterial small subunit ribosomal RNA", at positions 1323 to 1500 of the family's 1533-position model. The record is from RNAcentral.